Molecule: small nucleolar RNA, 75 nt
Filed under: Carlito syrichta (Philippine tarsier)
Lineage: Eukaryota; Metazoa; Chordata; Mammalia; Primates; Tarsiidae
Description: Small nucleolar RNA SNORD28 (ENSTSYG00000023683.2)
Rfam family: Small nucleolar RNA SNORD28
About the family: U28 is a member of the C/D class of snoRNA which contain the C (UGAUGA) and D (CUGA) box motifs. U28 is encoded within the U22 snoRNA host gene (UHG) in mammals and is thought to act as a 2'-O-ribose methylation guide for ribosomal RNA.
Source: Rfam by way of RNAcentral
GUCAGAUGAUUUGAAUUGGUAAGCUGAUGAUCUGUGAGGUGCAAAAGUCAAUAGCAUGUUAGAGUUCUGAUGGCA